Long non-coding RNA from Ceratina calcarata, 496 nucleotides. RefSeq lists it as uncharacterized. The record is from RefSeq and is a predicted model, not a curated record. The transcript has 3 exons. Lineage: Eukaryota; Metazoa; Arthropoda; Insecta; Hymenoptera; Apidae.
CAUCAGUCUGGUUGAUGUUAAUAGUGGGGAGGUAUGGUUGUUUUAAAAAAGGAAAUUACUUGUGAAUGGACGUUGAAAUGAUAAGUUUUUAAGUAAUUUUGUAGGUAGUUUUUAAUGAAUCUUGAUUUUUUGAGGAUGAAUAAGAGGAGAUAUUGGAAAAUGAGGAAGCGGAGUAACUACACGGGACGUUGGCCCAAAGGAUUGAUUCUAAAUAAUUGUUUCACUGGAAAUGAACAAGUACUCUUGGAGGAUUGAGGAGGAAGAAGUUUUUGAGGAAGAUUAUAAUUGUUGUAAUGAUUCCAAUGAUUGAAUGAUCAGUAAUGGAGAUUGACAAGGGGAUGUGAUCGGUUUUGAAGGAUCCUUUUGUUACACUUAACAGUGAAUAGUAAUUUCAAUUGGUGAUCUUGUUCUUGAUAAUGUUCCUGAAUUUUUCUUUUAGAAACCUGUAGUUGUUAAUGAUAAACGAGGAUGUUUUGAGAAUGGAAAGUGGGAAAUA